RNAcentral lists this ribosomal RNA (867 nucleotides) under Myroides sp. Its description in RNAcentral is "bacterial SSU rRNA". The record is from RNAcentral. Lineage: Bacteria; Pseudomonadati; Bacteroidota; Flavobacteriia; Flavobacteriales; Flavobacteriaceae.
CSUAGAGUUUGAUCAUGGCUCAGGAUGAACGCUAGCGGCAGGCCUAACACAUGCAAGUCGAGGGGUAUAAGAAGCUUGCUUUUUAGAGACCGGCGCACGGGUGAGUAACGCGUAUGCAACCUACCUUUUACAGGRGAAUAGCCCGAAGAAAUUCGGAUUAAUGCUCCAUGGUUUAUUURGAKGGCAUCAUUUGAAUMAUAAAGAUUUAUCGGUAAAAGAUGGGCAUGCGUGUCAUUAGCUAGUUGGUAUGGUAACGGCAUACCAAGGCAACGAUGACUAGGGGUCCUGAGAGGGAGAUCCCCCACACUGGUACUGAGACACGGACCAGACUCCUACGGGAGGCAGCAGUGAGGAAUAUUGGUCAAUGGAGGCAACUCUGAACCAGCCAUGCCGMGUGCAGGAUGACGGUCCUAUGGAUUGUAAACUGCUUUUGUACGGGAAGAAAUGUGCCUACGAGUAGGUAUUUGWCGGUACCGUAAGAAUAAGGAUCGGCUAACUCCGUGCCAGCAGCCGCGGUAAUACGGAGGAUCCGAGCGUUAUCCGGAAUUAUUGGGUUUAAAGGGUUCGUAGGCGGUCAGAUAAGUCAGUGGUGAAAUCUCAUAGCUUAACUAUGAAMCUKCCGUUGAURCUGUUUGACUUGAAUAGUAUGGAAGUAACUAGAAUAUGUAGUGUAGCGGUGAAAUGCUUAGAUAUUACAUGGAAUACCAAUUGSGAAGGCAGGUUACUACGUACUUAUUGACGCUGAUGAACGAAAGCGUGGGUAGCGAACAGGAUUAGAUACCCUGGUAGUCCACKCCGUAAACGAUGGAUACUAGCUGUUCGGUUUUCGSACUGAGUGGCUAAGCGAAAGYGAUAAKAUCCCCGCCU